GGGGACAUGGCGGAACUGGUAGACGCAAGCGACUUAAAAUCGCUCGGGCUUUGCCCGUCCGGGUUCGAUUCCCGGUGUCCCCACCA
RNAcentral lists this transfer RNA (86 nucleotides) under Phenylobacterium sp. Its description in RNAcentral is "tRNA-Leu". It matches the Rfam family "tRNA". Rfam says of the family: Transfer RNA (tRNA) molecules are approximately 80 nucleotides in length. Their secondary structure includes four short double-helical elements and three loops (D, anti-codon, and T loops). Lineage: Bacteria; Pseudomonadati; Pseudomonadota; Alphaproteobacteria; Caulobacterales; Caulobacteraceae. The record is from RNAcentral.